Molecule: ribosomal RNA, 393 nt
Filed under: uncultured bacterium
Lineage: Bacteria
Description: partial 16S ribosomal RNA
Rfam family: Bacterial small subunit ribosomal RNA
Source: RNAcentral
UGGGGAAUUUUGGAUAAUGGGCGAAAGCCUGAUCCAGCAAUGCCGCGUGAGUGAAGAAGGCCUUCGGGUUGUAAAGCUCUUUUGUCAGGGAAGAAACGGUGAGAGCUAAUAUCUCUUGCUAAUGACGGUACCUGAAGAAUAAGCACCGGCUAACUACGUGCCAGCAGCCGCGGUAAUACGUAGGGUGCAAGCGUUAAUCGGAAUUACUGGGCGUAAAGCGUGCGCAGGCGUUUUGUAAGUCUGAUGUGAAAUCCCCGGGCUCAACCUGGGAAUUGCAUUGGAGACUGCAAGGCUAGAAUCUGGCAGAGGGGGGUAGAAUCCUCACGUGUAGCAGUGAAAUGCGUAGAUAUGUGGAGGAACACCGAUGGCGAAGGCAGCCCCCCUGGGUCAAGA